Molecule: ribosomal RNA, 469 nt
Filed under: uncultured bacterium
Lineage: Bacteria
Description: partial 16S ribosomal RNA
Rfam family: Bacterial small subunit ribosomal RNA
Source: RNAcentral
GACGAACGCUGGCGGCGUGCUUAACACAUGCAAGUCGAACGGAAAGGCCCUGCUUGCAGGGUGCUCGAGUGGCGAACGGGUGAGUAACACGUGGGUGAUCUGCCCCUUACUUUGGGAUAAGCCUGGGAAACUGGGUCUAAUACUGGAUAGGACCAUGCUGUAGGUGGUGUGGUGGAAAGAUUAGUUUCGGUAAGGGAUGAGCUCGCGGCCUAUCAGCUUGUUGGUGGGGUAAUGGCCUACCAAGGCGUCGACGGGUAGCCGGCCUGAGAGGGUGGACGGCCACAUUGGGACUGAGAUACGGCCCAGACUCCUACGGGAGGCAGCAGUGGGGAAUAUUGCACAAUGGGCGCAAGCCUGAUGCAGCGACGCCGCGUGGGGGAUGAAGGCCUUCGGGUUGUAAACUCCUUUCGGCCAUGACGAAGCCCUUGUGGUGACGGUAGUGGUAGAAGAAGCACCGGCUAACUACGUG